CCCGUGUGCUGAAUCACAUUCCUUCCAGCUCCUUCUGGUUGUCAGUGGACAAGCCCAGCUUGACAUUUUUCCAUAACUUCCAUCAGCAACACAACAAAGUACUCCUGCCCAUACUGUCAGCCUGCUAAUGUUAGUGGACCAUCCAGAUAUCUAGAAUCAUGCAGGAAAAGGUUCCAACCAAAUUAAACAAUGUGCUUCUUCAGUCCUCCUCGUCCAUCAGGAAUGAAACAUCCCCUUCCUUCUCCCACCCCCAUAGAGGAACUACAGAAAUGUCCUCCAAAGGCUGCAACACUCUGAAAACUCCAGCGAAUGGGCUGGGUGAUACAAGAGGUAUUGGGAUUGCUUAUGCCUAUCACAUUGUUCCUUUGCUGGUUCUACAGAAAUGCCUGCUCUUGAAACCUUGCUAUCAAGACUCGUGCGCUGUUUCAGUUGUAUAUGAGCGGAUGCUGUCACUACAUAUUCAACGUCCUGG
Long non-coding RNA from Emys orbicularis (European pond turtle), 472 nucleotides. RefSeq lists it as uncharacterized. The transcript is spliced from 3 exons. The record is from RefSeq and is a predicted model, not a curated record. Lineage: Eukaryota; Metazoa; Chordata; Testudines; Emydidae.